RNAcentral lists this long non-coding RNA (481 nucleotides) under Elaeis guineensis (African oil palm). Its description in RNAcentral is "long non-coding RNA (EGUI_LNC041017)". Lineage: Eukaryota; Viridiplantae; Streptophyta; Magnoliopsida; Arecales; Arecaceae. The record is from RNAcentral.
UGACCUGUUUAGUAUAGGGUUAAAAGAUUAUUAAGGUUGAGUGUGAUAUUAUUUUGGGGGUAGAUAUUAAAGUUGAGACCAGGACCUCUCUAGUGCGACAUCUGUUAGUCUUCUCAACAAGGCAACUGUUGGCUAUCUAUGGAAGAUAGAUGGCAUGCAUCCAUCAUGUCAGGGAAAAGAAAAAAAAAGUACCGUCUAAAGAAGAUUGACUCUCGGAUUGGAUAGAUCAGAGAUGUUCUUAACGGCUGAGUGGACUGGUUCUACUCUUCCAUCUGUUUUCCUAUCAUAAGAAGGAUGUAGGAAGUAGAUUGGAUAGUUUGAACUUAAUAUCUUCCAUACUUUUCCCAAUCAUAAGAGAGGUGCACGUAGAAAAAAGAGAGCGGGAGAAAUGGAGCGAGAGACUGUCGGGAACACAGUCUCCCACCCUGUUUAGCAUAGAGUUAAAGGGUUAUUAAGGUUGAGUGUGGUAUUGGUUUGGAGG